This 423-nucleotide ribosomal RNA is filed under the name Mycobacteriaceae bacterium Ellin7040. RNAcentral describes it as "bacterial SSU rRNA". It matches the Rfam family "Bacterial small subunit ribosomal RNA", at positions 28 to 455 of the family's 1533-position model. The record is from RNAcentral. Lineage: Bacteria; Bacillati; Actinomycetota; Actinomycetes; Mycobacteriales; Mycobacteriaceae.
GACGAACGCUGGCGGCGUGCUUAACACAUGCAAGUCGAACGGAAAGGCCCUUCGGGGUACUCGAGUGGCGAACGGGUGAGUAACACGUGGGUGAUCUGCCCUGCACUUUGGGAUAAGCCUGGGAAACUGGGUCUAAUACCGAAUAUGACCAUGCUCUUCAUGGAGUGUGGUGGAAAGCUUUUGCGGUGUGGGAUGGGCCCGCGGCCUAUCAGCUUGUUGGUGGGGUAAUGGCCUACCAAGGCGACGACGGGUAGCCGGCCUGAGAGGGUGACCGGCCACACUGGGACUGAGAUACGGCCCAGACUCCUACGGGAGGCAGCAGUGGGGAAUAUUGCACAAUGGGCGCAAGCCUGAUGCAGCGACGCCGCGUGAGGGAUGACGGCCUUCGGGUUGUGAACCUCUUUCAAUAGGGACGAAGCGCAA